CUGAAUAAUAUUUUUUGUAAAAAAUGUCUUAGGAAGCCCUUUUGCUUUUUUUUUUUUUAACACUUCUCCUAAGCUCAGGCACAUCUGUACCACUGAAAUUUCUGUUCUGUGCUUUCAGUAUACAGACUGUGAAAUAAAUAAAAGACAGCUUCUGCAUUUGAUAACCUUGAAGUUCUCAGAGUAUGUUUCCUUCCAAGGCUGGGUGGGAAGAAAUCAGUGACGAUCUCCAAGAAACAAAGCUCAUUUCCAUUUCUAUGAAUAGGACCAUUUGCGUUACCUUGAACCAGAAACUUCGUCACCGCCAGCAGCCCUCUACAAGGUAACUUUUAUCUCUACAGAGUUGCAAAAUAGGUCAAAGACAGAGAACUUAUAGACUGUCAGAGAAUCAGACAACCCGGAAGUGCCUGCAAGACAACACAAAGAAUUUUUCAAAGGACAUCCAGGAACCUUGCUACUCAUUUUUUUUUUUUAAACAUGGAGCUAAAGUAUCCAGAGUGUAUUCAUUUACUGAUUCACCAUUUUAAUACCACUAAUCUUCACAGGUAGAAACAUUCAGUGAAAAAACAUUGGCUCUCAGGCUUCUUCAAGUAUUAAGCCUUCGUGUUUUCCUGUUUUUAAACUGUACCAGCAAUACAAAAUAUACAGAGUAUUUGUUUAAUACCUUGUUUCAAAGUAUUCAUUUAUUACUUCCAAUAUUUCACACUCAGUAGUUUGUUUUGGUAUGUCUUUGCAGAACUAAUAAUGUUCCAUAAAGCAUUUCUCUUGAGGACUUCUAAUGAGUGCUAUUAACUGAACACUCUUAAUAACAUCUGCAGAUUCAUUCAACUGAAAGAAAGGCAUGUUUUUAUAGUUUCUGGAUCAGUGUUGUCCUAAGUCAUAUAGUAUGUUGACAGUAAGUGCAGUAAUGACACCUUUUCCAUCCCCUAUGCUUCAUUGGUUCAAAACCUAAUAUGUAUUGAUAACUUCAAUACAAGGUGGUAAAAGAAGUGACUCUAAAAUUGUUUGAGGCAUUGUGUAAUCUUUAGCUAUUCAUUCAACUCUCUUGCACCAGUUCCUUAUAACUAAAGUCCUUUCCUGAUUUGGGUUAUGAAGACACAUUUAAAAAUCUAAUCCUUUUGUGUGAGAAAGAGGAAUGUUUUUUAGUAAAUUUUAGUGUCAUUAUUGCUUCAUUUAAUGAUUUUUCCAUGUAAAUAAGAUAUUAGGCUGAAGAAAAAAAGGAUUAAUAGGAUAUAAGACUCCAGAUAGAUAGAUAGAUAGAUCUCGCAGGCUUGUCCUGUGAAUCUGAGACUUUAUAACUUUAAUGAGAAAGUUACCUAUCAUAACAGAAAGAAAAUAAACCUAUUUGAAUGUAAAUUUCUUCA
Molecule: long non-coding RNA, 1361 nt
Filed under: Sus scrofa (pig)
Lineage: Eukaryota; Metazoa; Chordata; Mammalia; Artiodactyla; Suidae
Description: lncRNA (ENSSSCG00050054887.1)
Source: RNAcentral